This 435-nucleotide ribosomal RNA is filed under the name uncultured bacterium. Its description in RNAcentral is "partial 16S ribosomal RNA". It matches the Rfam family "Bacterial small subunit ribosomal RNA", at positions 28 to 507 of the family's 1533-position model. The record is from RNAcentral.
GAUGAACGCUGGCGGUAUGUUUAACACAUGCAAGUCGAACGGACUCUUCGGAGUUAGUGGCGGACGGGUGAGUAACGCGUGAGAAUCUGGCUUUGGGUUCGGGACAACCACUGGAAACGGUGGCUAAUACCGGAUGUGCCGAGAGGUAAAAGAGAAAUUGCCUGAAGAUGAGCUCGCGUCUGAUUAGCUAGUUGGUGAGGUAAAGGCUCACCAAGGCAGCGAUCAGUAGCUGGUCUGAGAGGAUGACCAGCCACACUGGGACUGAGACACGGCCCAGACUCCUACGGGAGGCAGCAGUGGGGAAUUUUCCGCAAUGGGCGAAAGCCUGACGGAGCAAUACCGCGUGAGGGAAGAAGGCUCUUGGGUUGUAAACCUCUUUUCUUAGGGAAGAACAAAAUGACGGUACCUAAGGAAUCAGCAUCGGCUAACUCCGUG